CCUACGGGUGGCAGCAGUGAGGAAUAUUGGUCAAUGGCCGAGAGGCUGAACCAGCCAAGUCGCGUGAGGGAUGAAUGCCCUAUGGGUUGUAAACCUCUUUUGUCAGGGAGCAAAGUCCCCCACGUGUGCGUGUUGGCGAGUACCUUAAGAAAAAGCAUCGGCUAACUCCGUGCCAGCAGCCGCGGUAAUACGGAAGGUGCGAGCGUUAUCCGGAUUUAUUGGGGUUAAAGGGUGCGUAGGCGGGUUAUUAAGUCCGGCGUGAAAAUGUAGGGCUUAACCCUCGAACUGCAGUGGAAACUGGGGAUCUGGAGUGCGCGAGAAGUAUGCGGAAUGCGUGGUGUAGCGGUGAAAUGCGUAGAUAUCACGAAGAACACCGAUUGCGAAGGCAGCAUACCGGAGUGUAACUGACGUUGAGGCACGAAAGCGUGGGUAGCGAACAGGAUUAGAUACCCGUGUAGUC
RNAcentral lists this ribosomal RNA (460 nucleotides) under uncultured bacterium. RNAcentral's name for it is "partial 16S ribosomal RNA". It matches the Rfam family "Bacterial small subunit ribosomal RNA", at positions 338 to 795 of the family's 1533-position model. The record is from RNAcentral.